GCAUAUUCUGGGGGGGGGGCAUGGAGAUGAGGACAGGUGUGAAAGGAGGUAAGCCCUGACCGUGGGCAUGAGGGUGGUCAGGAGACUCAGGAGCCGGUGACUCCAAGCUGAGACCCAAAGGCCCAGACUGUCCUGUGAAGAGGGCUCCAGGCAGAGGGUACAGCAAAUGCAAAGGGCCUGAGGCAGGAAAGGGCUUCCUGUGCUCUGAGACCUCCUGGAAUGGAGUGCCCAAGACAGACUACACAGCAGGAAGAGAAGAGAGAAACUUUUGGAACAAGAAACUACGGACAAGAACACAGAGAAAAAUUAUUACUACCAAGGUAAUGCUAUGAAUCUUUUAGUGCAUGUGCCUCUGGGUGUCAUCUCUGCAGCGGGUCACUCACACGUGUGACAUGGAUGGUGGGGCUGUGGAAGGUGAGGGACACUCUAGAGUUGGAUGACCUGGGUUCAAAACCUUGUUCUGAUGCUUGUUAGCUGCACGGGCUUCAGGGAGCUCCUUGAUUUCCUUGUGCCUCAGUUUCCCGAUCUGUGACAUGAGGAUAAUGGCAUCGGCUUCCUCGUGGGAUGAUACAGGCCACACCAUUUUUUGUUUCCACUUUGCUCCUGUAGUUGGUUUGAAUUUUAGUCCACAAGUCUGGGCAUAAGAGGCAAAUUAGCUCUUUAAAGCAUAUAUUUUCUUGCUCUGCUUUUCUAUGUUGCCUCACUGAGGGGCUCUCCAUGUCCCUCCCUGGGGUCUCCCUAGAACUGGCCUGGAAAUAGCGGCGGUCGUGUCUCAGGGCCUUCACGUGUGCAUGACGUGGGCUUAUUGCCAAACGUGUGGGGGUCCUUGACGGUGGGCCUGCUGCAGGUUCUGUGCCUGGUGGGCAAGGGGCUUUUUGUCUAGACGGAGCAGGGCAGGACUGGAACUUGGGUAGAGUCCCUGAGGCACGCUGCUGCCGUUCCCCUGGAGCCACCAUCUGCCUGUGCUGCAGUUAAGGGAUGGCGUGGACGGGGAAGGGAGGAGAGGGCAAAGGGACAGGAGGGGGCAAGGAGACAGUUCCUGCAAGCCUGUCUCCCUCCUCUCUCUUCUCUCAUCUCUUUCUCUCCCCAUCAACAACUUCU
RNAcentral lists this long non-coding RNA (1101 nucleotides) under Equus caballus (horse). RNAcentral describes it as "lncRNA (ENSECAG00000044045.1)". Lineage: Eukaryota; Metazoa; Chordata; Mammalia; Perissodactyla; Equidae. The record is from RNAcentral.